This 253-nucleotide ribosomal RNA is filed under the name uncultured bacterium. RNAcentral describes it as "partial 16S ribosomal RNA". It matches the Rfam family "Bacterial small subunit ribosomal RNA", at positions 524 to 776 of the family's 1533-position model. The record is from RNAcentral.
UACGAGUGGUGCAAGCGUUAUUCGGAAUCAUUGGGCGUAAAGGGUGUGUAGGCGGCAUAUUAAGUCAACUGUUUAAUUCUCCGGCCUAACCGGAGGUCAGCUGUAGAUACUGAUGUGCUUGAGAAUGGAAGAGAGAAGUGGAAUUCUCGGAGUAGCGGUAAAAUGCGUAGAUCUCGAGAGGAACACCAAUGGCGAAGGCAGCUUCUUGGUCCAUUUCUGACGCUGAAACACGAAAGCGUGGGGAGCAAACAGG